RNAcentral lists this ribosomal RNA (811 nucleotides) under Glossus humanus. RNAcentral's name for it is "SSU rRNA". It matches the Rfam family "Eukaryotic small subunit ribosomal RNA", at positions 423 to 1231 of the family's 1831-position model. Lineage: Eukaryota; Metazoa; Mollusca; Bivalvia; Venerida; Glossidae. The record is from RNAcentral.
AGGCAGCAGGCGCGCAAAUUACCCACUCCCGACACGGGGAGGUAGUGACGAAAAAUAACAAUACGGGACUCUUUCGAGGCCCCGUAAUUGGAAUGAGUACACUUUAAAUCCUUUAACGAGGAUCAAUUGGAGGGCAAGUCUGGUGCCAGCAGCCGCGGUAAUUCCAGCUCCAAUAGCGUAUAUUAAAGUUGCUGCAGUUAAAAAGCUCGUAGUUGGAUCUCGGGUGCAGGCUUGCGGUCCGUCUCGCGGCGGUCACUGCUCGUCCUGGCCUCCACGCCGGCGCACCGUCCCUUGGUGCUCUUGACUGAGUGUCUCGGGCGGCCGGAACGUUUACUUUGAAGAAAUUAGAGUGCUCAAAGCAGGCCUUUGCCGCCCGCAUAAUGGUGCAUGGAAUAAUGGAAUAGGACCUCGGUUCUAUUUUGUUGGUUUUCGGAGCUCGAGGUAAUGAUUAAUAGGGACUGACGGGGGCAUUCGUAUUGCGGCGCUAGAGGUGAAAUUCUUGGACCGUCGCAAGACGAACCACAGCGAAAGCAUUUGCCAAGCAUGUUUUCAUUAAUCAAGAACGAAAGUCAGAGGUUCGAAGACGAUCAGAUACCGUCGUAGUUCUGACCAUAAACGAUGCCAACUGUCGAUCCGCCGGAGUUGCUUCAAUGACUCGGCGGGCAGCCUCCGGGAAACCAAAGUUUCUGGGUUCCGGGGGGAGUAUGGUUGCAAAGCUGAAACUUAAAGGAAUUGACGGAAGGGCACCACCAGGAGUGGAGCCUGUGGCUUAAUUUGACUCAACACGGGGAACCUCACCCGGCCCGGACAC